Molecule: ribosomal RNA, 796 nt
Filed under: uncultured archaeon
Lineage: Archaea
Description: bacterial SSU rRNA
Rfam family: Archaeal small subunit ribosomal RNA
Source: RNAcentral
ACUGCUCAGUAACACGUGGAUAACCUGCCCUUGGGUCCGGCAUAACCCCGGGAAACUGGGGAUAAUUCCGGAUACCGCAUAUGUGCUGGAAUGCUUUAUGCGUAAAAUGGAUUCGUCUGCCCAAGGAUGGGUCUGCGGCCUAUCAGGUAGUAGUGGGUGUAAUGUACCUACUAGCCGACAACGGGUACGGGUUGUGAGAGCAAGAGCCCGGAGAUGGAUUCUGAGACAUGAAUCCAGGCCCUACGGGGCGCAGCAGGCGCGAAAACUUUACAAUGCGGGAAACCGUGAUAAGGGGACACCGAGUGCCAGCAUCAUAUGCUGGCUGUCCGGGUGUGUAAAAUACACCUGUCAGCAAGGGCCGGGCAAGACCGGUGCCAGCCGCCGCGGUAACACCGGCGGCCCGAGUGGUGAUCGUGAUUAUUGGGUCUAAAGGGUCCGUAGCCGGUUUGGUCAGUCCUCCGGGAAAUCUGACGGCUCAACCGUUAGGCUUUCGGGGGAUACUGCCAGGCUUGGAACCGGGAGAGGUAAGAGGUACUACAGGGGUAGGAGUGAAAUCUUGUAAUCCCUGUGGGACCACCUGUGGCGAAGGCGUCUUACCAGAACGGGUUCGACGGUGAGGGACGAAAGCUGGGGGCACGAACCGGAUUAGAUACCCGGGUAGUCCCAGCCGUAAACGAUGCUCGCUAGGUGUCAGGCAUGGCGCGACCGUGUCUGGUGCCGCAGGGAAGCCGUGAAGCGAGCCACCUGGGAAGUACGGCCGCAAGGCUGAAACUUAAAGGAAUUGGCGGGGGAGCAC